RNAcentral lists this ribosomal RNA (253 nucleotides) under uncultured bacterium. RNAcentral's name for it is "partial 16S ribosomal RNA". It matches the Rfam family "Bacterial small subunit ribosomal RNA", at positions 524 to 776 of the family's 1533-position model. The record is from RNAcentral.
UACGUAGGGGGCAAGCGUUGUCCGGAAUCAUUGGGCGUAAAGCGCGUGUAGGCGGUUCAGUAAGUCUGCUGUGAAAGUCCAGGGCUCAACCCUGGGAUGCCGGUGGAUACUGCUGGACUAGAGUGCGGAAGAGGCGAGUGGAAUUCCCGGUGUAGUGGUGAUAUGCGUAGAUAUCGGGAGGAACACCAGUGGCGAAGGCGGCUUUCUGGGCCUUACCUGACGCUGAGACGCGAAAGCGUGGGGAGCGAACCGG